RNAcentral lists this unclassified non-coding RNA (301 nucleotides) under Phyllozyma sp. Its description in RNAcentral is "partial contains 5.8S ribosomal RNA, internal transcribed spacer 2, and large subunit ribosomal RNA". The stretch from base 1 to 71 matches the Rfam family "5.8S ribosomal RNA", at positions 84 to 154 of the family's 154-position model. Lineage: Eukaryota; Fungi; Basidiomycota; Spiculogloeomycetes; Spiculogloeales; Spiculogloeaceae. The record is from RNAcentral.
GUGAGUCAUCGAAUCUUUGAACGCAUCUUGCGCCCUUUGGUAUUCCGAGGGGCAUGCCUGUUUGAGUGUCGCAUUACUCUCAACCCUGGACCGUUCAUCGGCUUGGGCUUGGACCGUGGCCGAACGGCCGGCGUCGUCGACGUCUGGCCCGGCCGAAAUGGAUGCGGAGCGAUGCCGACCGCGACGACCGAGCGUUGUAGAACCUCGCAAGGUGUUGCCGGCGCUGCUCUCCAGUCACAUUCUUCGACCUCAAAUCAGGUAGGACUACCCGCUGAACUUAAGCAUAUCAAUAAGCGGAGGA